AAUGAACGUUGGCGGCGUGGAUUAGGCAUGCAAGUCGAGCGGGUAUAGCAAUAUAUCAGCGGCGAAAGGGAGAGUAACGCGUAGCUACGUACCCCAGAGACCGGAAUAGCCAGCCGAAAGGCUGGGUAAUGCCGGAUGAUGUCCCUGGACUAAAGGGUGUGAUUCCGCUUUGGGAGCGGGCUGCGUUGUACUAGCUUGUUGGUGAGGUAAUGGCCUACCAAGGCGAUGAUGCAUACCGGGCGUGAGAGCGUGGCCCGGCUCACUGGGACUGAGACACUGCCCAGACUCCUACGGGUGGCAG
RNAcentral lists this ribosomal RNA (301 nucleotides) under uncultured Planctomycetota bacterium. RNAcentral describes it as "bacterial SSU rRNA". It matches the Rfam family "Bacterial small subunit ribosomal RNA", at positions 29 to 351 of the family's 1533-position model. Lineage: Bacteria; Pseudomonadati; Planctomycetota. The record is from RNAcentral.